RNAcentral lists this ribosomal RNA (381 nucleotides) under Triticum aestivum (bread wheat). RNAcentral describes it as "partial small subunit ribosomal RNA". The record is from RNAcentral. Lineage: Eukaryota; Viridiplantae; Streptophyta; Magnoliopsida; Poales; Poaceae.
AUGAUGUACGUAAUAACUCGGACAUCUAUUUCAAAUGCAUAUCCCAUUUUUGCGCAGCAGGGUUAUGAAAACCCACAAGAAGCAACUGGACGAAUUGUAUGUGCCAAUUGCCAUUUAGCUAGCAAGCCCGUCGAUAUUGAAGUUCCCCAAGCUAUGCUUCCCGAUACUGUAUUUGAAGCAGUUCUUCUAAUUACUUAUGAUAUGCAAUUGAAACAAGUUCUUGCUAAUGGAAAAAAGGGUGGGUUGAAUGUAGGGGCUGUUCUUAUUUUGCCCGAGGGAUUCGAAUUAGCGCCGCCCGAUCGUAUUUCCCCUGAGUUAAAAGAAAAGAUAGGAAAUCUUGCUUUUCAGAGUUAUCGUCCCGAUAAAAAAACAUUCUUAUGA